RNAcentral lists this ribosomal RNA (253 nucleotides) under uncultured bacterium. RNAcentral's name for it is "partial 16S ribosomal RNA". It matches the Rfam family "Bacterial small subunit ribosomal RNA", at positions 524 to 776 of the family's 1533-position model. The record is from RNAcentral.
UACGUAGGGUGCGAGCGUUGUCCGGAAUUAUUGGGCGUAAAGGGCUCGUAGGCGGUCUGUCACGUCGGGAGUGAAAACUCAGGGCUUAACCCUGAGCCUGCUUCCGAUACGGGCAGACUAGAGGUAUGCAGGGGAGAACGGAAUUCCUGGUGUAGCGGUGGAAUGCGCAGAUAUCAGGAGGAACACCGGUGGCGAAGGCGGUUCUCUGGGCAUUACCUGACGCUGAGGAGCGAAAGUGUGGGGAGCGAACAGG